UAGGAAGGUCCGAGGUCAAUUAUUGCAUGUCAGUAACUACUGAACAGCAGGAGCUGUGGUAAUGGUACAGAGAAUAUAGAUGAUAGAUAUUUUCACACUUAGAUUAGAGUAUUAACUCCUGUGUAAUUAUCUACAUUUUGACAUAUACACCCAUGUGAGACCCUUUAUAGAAUUAUAGACAAGAAUCAGCUUUAAACAGAAUUUGGCCUAU
RNAcentral lists this non-coding RNA (211 nucleotides) under Hannaella oryzae. Lineage: Eukaryota; Fungi; Basidiomycota; Tremellomycetes; Tremellales; Bulleribasidiaceae. The record is from RNAcentral.